This 1264-nucleotide ribosomal RNA is filed under the name Kytococcus sedentarius. Its description in RNAcentral is "bacterial SSU rRNA". It matches the Rfam family "Bacterial small subunit ribosomal RNA", at positions 180 to 1453 of the family's 1533-position model. Lineage: Bacteria; Bacillati; Actinomycetota; Actinomycetes; Micrococcales; Kytococcaceae. The record is from RNAcentral.
CCAACCUUCGCAUGGGGUGUUGGUGGAAAGAUUUAUCGGUGGUGGAUGGACUCGCGUCCUAUCAGCUUGUUGGUGGGGUAAUGGCCUACCAAGGCGACGACGGGUAGCCGGCCUGAGAGGGCGACCGGCCACACUGGGACUGAGACACGGCCCAGACUCCUACGGGAGGCAGCAGUGGGGAAUAUUGCACAAUGGGCGAAAGCCUGAUGCAGCGACGCCGCGUGAGGGAUGACGGCCUUCGGGUUGUAAACCUCUUUCAGCAGGGAAGAAGCUUUUGUGACGGUACCUGCAGAAGAAGCACCGGCUAACUACGUGCCAGCAGCCGCGGUAAUACGUAGGGUGCGAGCGUUGUCCGGAAUUAUUGGGCGUAAAGAGCUUGUAGGCGGUUUGUCGCGUCUGCUGUGAAAAUCUAGGGCUUAACCCUGGACGUGCAGUGGGUACGGGCAGACUAGAGUAUGGUAGGGGAGACUGGAAUUCCUGGUGUAGCGGUGGAAUGCGCAGAUAUCAGGAGGAACACCGAUGGCGAAGGCAGGUCUCUGGGCCAUUACUGACGCUGAGAAGCGAAAGCAUGGGGAGCGAACAGGAUUAGAUACCCUGGUAGUCCAUGCCGUAAACGUUGGGCGCUAGGCGUGGGUCUCAUUCCACGAGAUCCGUGUCGCAGCUAACGCAUUAAGCGCCCCGCCUGGGGAGUACGGCCGCAAGGCUAAAACUCAAAGGAAUUGACGGGGGGCCCGCACAAGCGGCGGAGCAUGCUGAUUAAUUCGAUGCAACGCGAAGAACCUUACCAAGGCUUGACAUGCACCGGAUCGCCUCAGAGAUGGGGUUUCCCUUUGGGCUGGUGCACAGGUGGUGCAUGGUUGUCGUCACUCGUGUCGUGAGAUGUUGGGUUAAGUCCCGCAACGAGCGCAACCCUCGUUCUAUGUUGCCAGCACGUAAUGGGUGGGGACUCAUAGGAGACUGCCGGGGUCAACUCGGAGGAAAGGGGGGAUGACGUCAAAUCAUCAUGCCCCUUAUGUCUUGGGCUUCAAGCAUGCUACAAUGGCUGGUACAGAGGGUUGGGAAACCGUGAGGUGGAGCGAAUCCCAAAAAACCGGUCUCAGUUCGGAUUGGGGUCUGCAACUCGACCCCAUGAAGUCGGAGUCGCUAGUAAUCGCAGAUCAGCAACGCUGCGGUGAAUACGUUCCCGGGCCUUGUACACACCGCCCGUCAAGUCACGAAAGUCGGUAACCCCCGAAGCCGGUGGCCUAACCCUUGUGGGAGGAGC